CAAGAGGAGGGGUUAGACUUCGGGUCGAAGCUCUGAAUUGAAGCCCCAGUAAACGGCGGCCGUAACGAUAACGGUCCUAAGGUAGCGAAAUUCCUUGUCGGGUAAGUUCCGACCCGCACGAAAGGUGUAACGACUUGCGCACUGUCUCAACGAGGGACCCGGUGAAAUUGAAGUACCUGUGAAGAUGCAGGUUACCCGCGACUGGACAGAAAGACCCCAUGGAGCUUUACUGCAACCUAAGAUUGAACUUAGUUAAUGAAUGUACAGGAUAGGUGGGAGACGUAGAACCUAGGACGCCAGUUUUAGGGGAGUCACUGUUGGGAUACCACCCUUUCAUUAAUUGAUUUCUAACGGGCCGAGUAACGACCGGCCGGACAGUCUUAGGCGGGCAGUUUGACUGGGGCGGUCGCCUCCUAAAGAGUAACGGAGGCGCCCAAAGGUUCCCUCAGAGCGGACGGAAAUCGCUCGAAGAGUGUAAAGGCAGAAGGGAGCUUGACUGCGAGACGGAC
RNAcentral lists this ribosomal RNA (509 nucleotides) under Glaesserella parasuis. RNAcentral describes it as "partial 23S ribosomal RNA". It matches the Rfam family "Bacterial large subunit ribosomal RNA", at positions 1878 to 2385 of the family's 2925-position model. Lineage: Bacteria; Pseudomonadati; Pseudomonadota; Gammaproteobacteria; Pasteurellales; Pasteurellaceae. The record is from RNAcentral.